Molecule: ribosomal RNA, 230 nt
Filed under: uncultured microorganism
Description: partial 16S ribosomal RNA
Rfam family: Bacterial small subunit ribosomal RNA
Source: RNAcentral
UACGGAGGGUGCGAGCGUUAAUCGGAAUCACUGGGCGUAAAGCGCACGUAGGCGGCGCAUCAAGUCAGACGUGAAAGCCCUCGGCUCAACCGAGGAAUUGCGUUUGAAACUGGUGGGCUCGAGUCCUGGAGAGGGUGGCGGAAUUCCCGGUGUAGGAGUGAAAUCCGUAGAUAUCGGGAGGAACACCAGUGGCGAAGGCGGCCAACUGGACGAGUACUGACGCUGAGGUG